AUCUAGCUGAUGAGUCCCAAACAGGAUGAAACCUGCCUCCUGUAU
This 45-nucleotide non-coding RNA is filed under the name Schistosoma margrebowiei. Lineage: Eukaryota; Metazoa; Platyhelminthes; Trematoda; Strigeidida; Schistosomatidae. The record is from RNAcentral.